GACGAACGCUGGCGGCGUGCCUAAUACAUGCAAGUAGAACGCUGAAGAGAGGAGCUUGCUCUUCUUGGAUGAGUUGCGAACGGGUGAGUAACGCGUAGGUAACCUGCCUUGUAGCGGGGGAUAACUAUUGGAAACGAUAGCUAAUACCGCAUAACAAUGGAUGACACAUGUCAUUUAUUUGAAAGGGGCAAUUGCUCCACUACAAGAUGGACCUGCGUUGUAUUAGCUAGUAGGGGAGGUAACGGCUCACCUAGGCGACGAUACAUAGCCGACCUGAGAGGGUGAUCGGCCACACUGGGACUGAGACACGGCCCAGACUCCUACGGGAGGCAGCAGUAGGGAAUCUUCGGCAAUGGGGGCAAACCUGACCGAGCAACGCCGCGUGAGUGAAGAAGGUUUUCGGAUCGUAAAGCUCUGUUGUAAGUCAAGAACGAGUGUGAGAGUGGAAAGUUCACACUGUGACGGUAGCUAACCAGAAAGGGACGGCUAACUACGUG
This 497-nucleotide ribosomal RNA is filed under the name uncultured bacterium. Its description in RNAcentral is "partial 16S ribosomal RNA". It matches the Rfam family "Bacterial small subunit ribosomal RNA", at positions 28 to 507 of the family's 1533-position model. The record is from RNAcentral.